GACGAACGCUGGCGGCGUGCUUAACACAUGCCAGUCGAACGGAAAGACCUCUUUCUGGGGGUACUCGCGUGGCGAACGGGUGGGUAACACAUGCGUAACCUGCCCUUGACUUUGGGUUAACUAACGUAAACAAGGCCUAAUACCGGACAGGAGCUAUAGCUAAAUGGAGGGGGUUGGAAAGUUUCGGGGGUUGGGGGUGGCCUCGCGGCUUAUCCGCUUGUUGGUGGGGUGAUGGCUUACCAAGGCUUUGCCGGGUAGCCGGCCUGAGAGGGUGAGCGGCCACCCUGAGACUGAGGUACGGCACAGACUCCGACGGGAGGCAGAAGGGGGGAAGAUUGAACAAUGGGUGGAGGCCGGAUGCAGAAACGCCGUGGGCGGGAAGACGGCCUUCGGGUUGAAAAACGCUUUCGCUCAUGACGAAGCUUUGUGUGACGGUAGUGGGUAAAGAAGCACCGGCUAACUACGUG
This 467-nucleotide ribosomal RNA is filed under the name uncultured bacterium. Its description in RNAcentral is "partial 16S ribosomal RNA". It matches the Rfam family "Bacterial small subunit ribosomal RNA", at positions 28 to 507 of the family's 1533-position model. The record is from RNAcentral.